Molecule: transfer RNA, 87 nt
Filed under: Parvibaculum lavamentivorans DS-1
Lineage: Bacteria; Pseudomonadati; Pseudomonadota; Alphaproteobacteria; Hyphomicrobiales; Parvibaculaceae
Rfam family: tRNA
About the family: Transfer RNA (tRNA) molecules are approximately 80 nucleotides in length.
Source: Rfam by way of RNAcentral
GGAGAGGUGGCUGAGUGGUUGAAAGUACCGCACUCGAAAUGCGGCGUGCUCGCAAGGGUACCGUGGGUUCGAAUCCCACCCUCUCCG